This 347-nucleotide ribosomal RNA is filed under the name uncultured eukaryote. RNAcentral describes it as "SSU rRNA". It matches the Rfam family "Eukaryotic small subunit ribosomal RNA", at positions 594 to 945 of the family's 1831-position model. The record is from RNAcentral.
AUAGCGUAUAUUAAAGUUGUUGCAGUUAAAAAGCUCGUAGUUGAACUUCGAACCUGGUUGGGGGGUCUGCCUUCAUGGUAUGUACUGCUUGGCGGGGUUCUACCUCUUGGUGAGCCAGCAUGUCCUUUACUGGGUGUGUUGGGGAACCAGGACUUUUACCUUGAGAAAAUUAGAGUGUUCAAAGCAGGCCUUUGCCCGAAUACAUUAGCAUGGCAUAAUAAAAUAGGACGUGCGGUUCUAUUUUGUUGGUUUCUAGAGUCGCCGUAAUGAUUAAUAGGGAUAGUUGGGGGCAUUUGUAUUCCGUUGCUAGAGGUGAAAUUCUUGGAUUUACGGAAGACAAACUUCUG